CCCUUAGAUGUUCUGGGCUGCACGCGCGCUACACUGAUGCGCUCAACGAGUUUAUGACCUUGCCCGGAAGGGUUGGGUAAUCUUUUCAAAACGCAUCGUGAUGGGGAUAGAUUAUUGCAAUUAUUAAUCUUCAACGAGGAAUUCCUAGUAAGCGCGAGUCAUCAGCUCGUGCUGAUUACGUCCCUGCCCUUUGUACACACCGCCCGUCGCUCCUACCGAUUGAGGGAUCCGGUGAAUAAUUCGGACUGCGGCAAUGUUCAGCUCCUGAAUGUUGCUGCGGAAAGUUUAGUGAACCUUAUCACUUAGAGGAAGGAGAAGUCGUAACA
Molecule: ribosomal RNA, 326 nt
Filed under: uncultured eukaryote
Lineage: Eukaryota
Description: partial 18S ribosomal RNA
Rfam family: Eukaryotic small subunit ribosomal RNA
Source: RNAcentral